GUCUUUUUGAUUAUAAUUUAAAGUCUGACCUGCCCUAUGAAUUAUUUUUAAAUGGCUGCGGUAUUUUGACCGUACAAAGGUAGCAUAAUAAUUAGUUUUUUAAUUGGGAACUGGUAUGAAUGGUCGAACGAGAAAAAGACUGUCUCAAUUUAAGUUUAAUUAGAAUUUUAUAUUUAAGUUAAAAAGCUUAAAUAAAUUUAAAAGACGAGAAGACCCUAUAGAGUUUUAUAUAAUUUUGGUUGUUUAAAAGUUUAAGAAUAGUAAAUUUAAAUAAUUAUGUUUAUAUUUGGUUGGGGCGAUUAAAAAAUUUAAAUAACUUUUUUUAUUUAAUUACAUUGAUAUAUGUUUAAAUGAUCCAUACUUUAUGAUUAUAAGAUUAAAUUACCUUAGGGAUAACAGCGUAAUUUUUUUUUAGAGUUCUUAUCGAAAAAAAAGUUUGCGA
This 442-nucleotide ribosomal RNA is filed under the name Eurysternus hamaticollis. RNAcentral describes it as "partial 16S ribosomal RNA". Lineage: Eukaryota; Metazoa; Arthropoda; Insecta; Coleoptera; Scarabaeidae. The record is from RNAcentral.